GGCUGGUCCAAUGGUAGUGGGUUAUCAGAACUUAUUAACAUUAGCAUCACUAAAGUUAGUAUCCAACCCCCCACUGCUAAAUUUGACUGGUUAAAA
This 96-nucleotide Y RNA is filed under the name Propithecus coquereli (Coquerel's sifaka). RNAcentral describes it as "Y RNA (ENSPCOG00000003534.1)". It matches the Rfam family "Y RNA". Rfam says of the family: Y RNAs are components of the Ro ribonucleoprotein particle (Ro RNP), in association with Ro60 and La proteins. The Y RNAs and Ro60 and La proteins are well conserved, but the function of the Ro RNP is not known. Lineage: Eukaryota; Metazoa; Chordata; Mammalia; Primates; Indriidae. The record is from RNAcentral.